Molecule: long non-coding RNA, 475 nt
Organism: Pieris brassicae (large cabbage white)
Lineage: Eukaryota; Metazoa; Arthropoda; Insecta; Lepidoptera; Pieridae
Exons: 3
Source: RefSeq, a predicted model, not a curated record
CGUGAGAGGGAACUUGGCAGAACGCCAUUGUAAGCCAAACAAAUUUCUCGCUGAAAAAAAGCGAUAAAUUACUCAGUUUGCCUGAUUUGCAUAAAUGGUUCGGUCGCUUCGCGUGUUGCAUUAUGUCAUAAAGUACGUGUAAUAAAGGGUUAUUGUGAUUAAAGUGUGUGUAUUAUCUGUGUUCUAGUGUGUAAUUGCUGUGGAAACUGUACCAAAAUAGAUGAGUAUGGAGGCUGUGUAUCCUGCUGCAGCAUCAGCGCUUACACGCGGCAGGCGACGCAAACGCACCGAGCCACGACAGAGACAUCGCACUAUGCCUGUCACAUUUGCUGAAAUUAAGGAAGUCGAUGAGGACAAGGAGGACGAGCCGAUCCCAAUGACAGCUUCCAACAUAUCAAUCACAAGCGUUGAAGAACGACGUCGCAAACCGGAUCUCCUAGAUGAGACACUCGGAAGGCAGUUCACAGAAUUCCGC